GCCUACGGGGGGCAGCAGUGAGGAAUAUUGGUCAAUGGUCGGGAGACUGAACCAGCCAAGCCGCGUGAGGGAUGAAGGUACAGAGUAUCGUAAACCUCUUUUGUCAGGGAACAAAGGCGGGGACGUGUCCCCGGAUGAGUGUACCUGAAGAAAAAGCAUCGGCUAACUCCGUGCCAGCAGCCGCGGUAAUACGGAGGAUGCGAGCGUUAUCCGGAUUUAUUGGGUUUAAAGGGAGCGUAGGUGGAUUGUUAAGUCAGUUGU
RNAcentral lists this ribosomal RNA (261 nucleotides) under uncultured bacterium. RNAcentral describes it as "partial 16S ribosomal RNA". It matches the Rfam family "Bacterial small subunit ribosomal RNA", at positions 337 to 595 of the family's 1533-position model. The record is from RNAcentral.